UACAGAGGUCUCAAGCGUUGUUCGGAUUCAUUGGGCGUAAAGGGUGCGUAGGCGGCGCGGUAAGUCGGGUGUGAAAUCUCGGAGCUUAACUCCGAAACUGCAUUCGAUACUGCCGUGCUUGAGGACUGGAGAGGAGACUGGAAUUUACGGUGUAGCGGUGAAAUGCGUAGAUAUCGUAAGGAACACCAGUGGCGAAGGCGGCUUCCUGGCCUGUAACUGACGCUGAGACGCGAAAGCGUGGGGAGCGAACCGG
RNAcentral lists this ribosomal RNA (253 nucleotides) under uncultured bacterium. RNAcentral's name for it is "partial 16S ribosomal RNA". It matches the Rfam family "Bacterial small subunit ribosomal RNA", at positions 524 to 776 of the family's 1533-position model. The record is from RNAcentral.